UCCCUGGUGGUCCAGUGGCUAAGAUUCUCUGUUCCCAAUGCAGGGGGCCCGGGUUCAAUUUCUGGUCAGGGAA
RNAcentral lists this transfer RNA (73 nucleotides) under Bos taurus (domestic cattle). It matches the Rfam family "tRNA". From Rfam's summary of the family: Transfer RNA (tRNA) molecules are approximately 80 nucleotides in length. Their secondary structure includes four short double-helical elements and three loops (D, anti-codon, and T loops). The record is from Rfam by way of RNAcentral. RNAcentral also lists the same sequence under 4 other names. Lineage: Eukaryota; Metazoa; Chordata; Mammalia; Artiodactyla; Bovidae.